GUGGGGAAUUUUGGACAAUGGGCGCAAGCCUGAUCCAGCAAUGCCGCGUGCAGGAAGAAGGCCUUCGGGUUGUAAACUGCUUUUGUACGGAACGAAACGGUCCGGGUUAAUACCCUGGGCUAAUGACGGUACCGUAAGAAUAAGCACCGGCUAACUACGUGCCAGCAGCCGCGGUAAUACGUAGGGUGCAAGCGUUAAUCGGAAUUACUGGGCGUAAAGCGUGCGCAGGCGGUUUUGUAAGACAGGCGUGAAAUCCCCGGGCUCAACCUGGGAAUUGCGGUUGUGACUGCAAGGCUGGGGUGCGGCAGAGGGGGAUGGAAUUCCGCGUGUAGCAGUGAAAUGCGUAGAGAUGCGGAGGAACACCGAUGGCGAAGGCAGCCUCCUGGGAUAACACUGACGCUCAGGCACGAAAGCGUGGGGAGCAAACAGGAUUAGAAACCCUGGUAGUCC
Molecule: ribosomal RNA, 450 nt
Filed under: uncultured bacterium
Lineage: Bacteria
Description: partial 16S ribosomal RNA
Rfam family: Bacterial small subunit ribosomal RNA
Source: RNAcentral